This 253-nucleotide ribosomal RNA is filed under the name uncultured bacterium. RNAcentral describes it as "partial 16S ribosomal RNA". It matches the Rfam family "Bacterial small subunit ribosomal RNA", at positions 524 to 776 of the family's 1533-position model. The record is from RNAcentral.
UACAGAGGUCUCAAGCGUUGUUCGGAUUCAUUGGGCGUAAAGGGUGCGUAGGCGGCAGCGCAAGUCAGGUGUGAAAUCCCGGGGCUCAACCCCGGAACUGCACUUGAUACUGCGUUGCUAGAGUACUGGAGAGGAGACUGGAAUUUACGGUGUAGCAGUGAAAUGCGUAGAUAUCGUAAGGAAGACCAGUGGCGAAGGCGAGUCUCUGGACAGUUACCGACGCUGAGGCACGAAGGCCAGGGGAGCAAACGGG